RNAcentral lists this ribosomal RNA (533 nucleotides) under Escherichia coli. Its description in RNAcentral is "partial 23S ribosomal RNA". It matches the Rfam family "Bacterial large subunit ribosomal RNA", at positions 2410 to 2925 of the family's 2925-position model. Lineage: Bacteria; Pseudomonadati; Pseudomonadota; Gammaproteobacteria; Enterobacterales; Enterobacteriaceae. The record is from RNAcentral.
UCAUAGUGAUCCGGUGGUUCUGAAUGGAAGGGCCAUCGCUCAACGGAUAAAAGGUACUCCGGGGAUAACAGGCUGAUACCGCCCAAGAGUUCAUAUCGACGGCGGUGUUUGGCACCUCGAUGUCGGCUCAUCACAUCCUGGGGCUGAAGUAGGUCCCAAGGGUAUGGCUGUUCGCCAUUUAAAGUGGUACGCGAGCUGGGUUUAGAACGUCGUGAGACAGUUCGGUCCCUAUCUGCCGUGGGCGCUGGAGAACUGAGGGGGGCUGCUCCUAGUACGAGAGGACCGGAGUGGACGCAUCACUGGUGUUCGGGUUGUCAUGCCAAUGGCACUGCCCGGUAGCUAAAUGCGGAAGAGAUAAGUGCUGAAAGCAUCUAAGCACGAAACUUGCCCCGAGAUGAGUUCUCCCUGACUCCUUGAGAGUCCUGAAGGAACGUUGAAGACGACGACGUUGAUAGGCCGGGUGUGUAAGCGCAGCGAUGCGUUGAGCUAACCGGUACUAAUGAACCGUGAGGCUUAACCUUACAACGCCGAAG